RNAcentral lists this ribosomal RNA (253 nucleotides) under uncultured bacterium. Its description in RNAcentral is "partial 16S ribosomal RNA". It matches the Rfam family "Bacterial small subunit ribosomal RNA", at positions 524 to 776 of the family's 1533-position model. The record is from RNAcentral.
UACGUAGGGUGCGAGCGUUAACCGGAAUUACUGGGCGUAAAGCGUGCGCAGGCGGUUCGUUAAGUCAGAUGUGAAAGCCCCGGGCUCAACCUGGGAAUGGCAUUUGAAACUGGCUGGCUCGAGACCGGGAGAGGUGAGUGGAAUUCCCAGUGUAGCGGUGAAAUGCGUAGAUAUUGGGAGGAACACCAGUGGCGAAGGCGGCUCAUUGGACCGGAACUGACGCUGAGGCGCGAAAGCGUGGGGAGCAAACAGG